AUUGAACGCUGGCGGCAUGCUUUACACAUGCAAGUCGAACGGGGUGAAGGGGUAACUCUUCAUUCAGUGGCGAACGGGUGAGUAAUGCAUCGGAACGUACCUCGUAGUGGGGGAUAACUCGGCGAAAGCCGUGCUAAUACCGCAUAUGCUCUACGGAGGAAAGCAGGGGACCGCAAGGCCUUGUGCUAUGGGAGCGGCCGAUGUCCGAUUAGCUAGUUGGUGGGGAAUGGCCUACCAAGGCGACGAUCGGUAGCUGGUCUGAGAGGAUGAUCAGCCACACUGGGACUGAGACACGGCCCAGACUCCUACGGGAGGCAGCAGUGGGGAAUUCUGGACAAUGGGGGCAACCCUGAUCCAGCCAUUCCGCGUGAGUGAAGAAGGCC
RNAcentral lists this ribosomal RNA (383 nucleotides) under uncultured bacterium. Its description in RNAcentral is "bacterial SSU rRNA". It matches the Rfam family "Bacterial small subunit ribosomal RNA", at positions 30 to 416 of the family's 1533-position model. The record is from RNAcentral.